Molecule: long non-coding RNA, 2570 nt
Organism: Mauremys reevesii (Reeves's turtle)
Lineage: Eukaryota; Metazoa; Chordata; Testudines; Geoemydidae
Exons: 6
Source: RefSeq, a predicted model, not a curated record
CUACCAGCCCCGGCCGAGGGGCAUCAUCCCAUGGAGCCGGCUCCACGGCGCUCCCCCAGGGGACCCACCUGACCGCCCCUCCCGCCGCAGGGCCGUCCCCGGGCUCCCCGCUAGGGCCCAUCCCCAGGCUCCGGUAAUUCAGCUCCACAAGGGAGUUCUUCUCACCCCUCAAGCUGAUUGAAGUCAUGGGCCGUCAGAAACUAAUUGGAAUGAAUGGAGAUGUUAAAUGUCAGAGAAACACUUCAUCAGGGGGCACAGGUUUGGGAGACCUCCCUACUCCCAAAAAGUAGCUGAAGCAGGUCCUGGAGUUAUUCAUGGAGGAAGUCCCAAGAACACAAAAUUGGAGAAGGAGAGGAGUAUAACAAGAACAGACCAUUUCUCCCUCCCAAUAACUAGGAAUCCCUGAGGGACAGAAAGUAGCAAAACCCAGUCCUCCAUCCUUGUAGCAGGCAAGGAAACCCUGGAUGUAGGAGAGAAGGCAGAAAACUCCUUCUCCCUUCCAGCACAGAGAGGGAGGAACCGCCCACCUGUGAAAGCCUCAUUUAAAGACACAGCUUGUAGCUGAUUGGAGGAUGCUUGACUAAAGGUCAUCAUGGGAAAUGUAGUCCUAAACUGGAAGCUAAAGCUUGAGAUGGUGGUAUAAGGAAACAGAACCUUAAUAUGAACAGUAACUAAUAAAACUGGAGGCAAAUGAAAUAUGGAUCACUAGGAAGGAAUCUAUGAGCUAUACAGUCUGAAGUAGCCUUGAAAAUAACUUGACCUGAGAGAUGCUCAUAUGUAACUUUUCUGAAUGCUGGUGAGAUGAAAGAAUUCUCUGAACUGUUGAGAUUGCUAGCGUCCAGUUCAAAUGCUCGGGAGUGUACCCAACUGACUCUGUUAAGACUGCUGAUGAAAACCGAGCUACAUCAAUCAUGAGAGAGCUGAAGAAGCACCCAUCCUGCCUUUACCUGCUUCCUGGGAAGGUUCUGCUUUUGAAUUCAACCAGUCUCAAAGGUCCUACGCACCAGCCAGGCUGGAAGUGUCAUCUGUCUCAAAAGGGCCUAAAUAUUAAACUUGAUUGGACAUCAAAGGAAACACACUCAAUUCUGAACAGCAGUCAGGAAGUCUGAUCAACCCGAAGGACAUUGUGUAAACUUACAAUCACCACAAGGUCUUACCCCGUUGGGGAAAAAUACGGUAACCAGUCAAGCUUUGAAUAAAGGUUUCAACAAAGACCUAAGUAUAAUAGCCAGAAGGCAGAGUGGGGUUCUGAGUUUAACAGCAAAGUGGAUAUUGACUGAACCAAAUUUUGUUAUCAAUUAAAUGAAUCUUUCUAUUCAGCCAGAAAGAUCCAGGUAGAAUGGGAUUUAGGUGUUUUGUUACCUGGCAGUUCAUUCCUUUUCUUUACAGGAGGAAACUGGGACUAUCAUAAUAAGGAUUUAAUUUACAUAAAUAUAAAUGUAUGCAUAGGAAUAAGCAAACAACUCUUAUGUGAUUAUUUUAAGCAUUGCCCUUCUUUUGUUAUUUUAUUUAUUUCCUGUCUUUUUCUUUGUCCAUUUUAAUAAUCUUCUGCAUAGAGACACAUCAUUGCAUUGUAUGAAUGAGUGGGAGGAAAUGUGAUGUAGGGCUACAGUCUACGAUGGGUGGGUUGAGUUUGUCUAGUGGGUUAAGUAGAGUUUGUCUAGUAGAUUAGAGAGUUUGGACACAGGGUUCUAUUCCUGGCUCUUCCACUGACUCAUUUAGAGACUUUAAUCAAGUCACUUCACAUCUCUGUGCAUCAUUUAUACCAUCUGUGAUAUGGGGAUAAAAAUUAGGGCUAGGUGAAAUCGUUGUCAAUUGUUUUUUGGCAGAAAUUUUCACCUAUUUGUUUUGCUAAGAUUUCAAGUCCCUCAAAUUAUUUUGCAGGUUGGCUUGCAAAAUCCACUCCCAGCUUGAACUGUCAAGCUUUCAAAACUUCAGAUGACUGGCUGUACCAUAGCUGUUAUCUCUGGCAGCUUUGAGUUGUGGAGAGAAGACAAUAGAAACAGGCAUCAGGAACACACACAUUUGUAAUAUAUUAUAUGAAGUACAUAGACAAACUUAUCAUGCCAGGCAGGGACGGUAGCAGCUGAGGAGUAUAUUUAGAUUGUAAAUUCAUUUGGGCAGGGACUCUUACUAUAUGUACAGUACUUAAAACAAUGGGGCCCUCAACUCAGUUGUGGCCUCCAAGUGCUACCAUAAUACAAAUAACUUGGCAUUGGGAUCUGCACUGGAUCCUGCACUCUUAGAUGACUCACUCUGUUGACCAGUCAGGGUGAAAGGCAAAGCUAAACCAUCAGCAGCCAAAAGGUGUGACAGCAAGUGCCAAGUCUUUCCACUGAGUGGUAUCGGGGGUGACCCAUAGAAGAGCAAUCUCCCAGGGCUUUGUGACUGCCUUCUCCUAAAACCCACCAGGUUCUGUGGGAGGUGGAUCAGGCACGAGAGGACUGUGAGCUUCUCACUAGUGAGGUGACUGAGUCUGAAUCAAUGCCCUACAACUAAUUGCCUUACGCAUUCACAGCUUCCCUUCUCAAAGGAAGGGAAAACAUUAUAAAAAUACUCAAGCAACCUCU